This 466-nucleotide ribosomal RNA is filed under the name uncultured bacterium. RNAcentral's name for it is "bacterial SSU rRNA". It matches the Rfam family "Bacterial small subunit ribosomal RNA", at positions 28 to 524 of the family's 1533-position model. The record is from RNAcentral.
GACGAACGCUGGCGGCGUGCUUUAGACAUGCAAGUCGAACGAGAUCUUCGGAUCUAGUGGCGAACGGCGGAGUAAUACAUAAACAACGUGCCCUGAAGACUGGGAUAUACGGUCGAAAGGCCGAGCAAUACCGGAUGUGGCCGAGACUAGGCAUCUAGACUCGAUUAAAUGGUUUUUCGCUUCAGGAGCGGUUUAUGACUCAUCAGCUAGUUGGUAGGGUAAUGGCCUACCAAGGCUACGACGGGUAGGGGGUCUGAGAGGAUGAUCCCCCCGAGUGGGACUGAGACACGGCCCACACACCUACGGGUGGCAGCAGUUUGGAAUCUUGCCCAAUGGGGGAAACCCUGAGGCAGCGACGCCGCGUGGAGGAUGAAGGAUUUAGGUCUGUAAACUCUUUGCCAGGAAAGACUUAGGACGUACCUGGCGAAUAAGCUCCGGCUAACUACGUGCCAGCAGCCGCGGUAAU